This 129-nucleotide non-coding RNA is filed under the name Candidatus Zhuqueibacterota. RNAcentral's name for it is "Candidate division SAM-I sequence". It matches the Rfam family "SAM riboswitch aptamer (S box leader)". Rfam says of the family: The SAM riboswitch is found upstream of a number of genes which code for proteins involved in methionine or cysteine biosynthesis in Gram-positive bacteria. The SAM riboswitch acts at the level of transcription termination control. The record is from RNAcentral. Lineage: Bacteria; Pseudomonadati.
UUCUCAUCCAGAGUGGCGGAGGGGCUGGCCCUUUGAAGCCACGGCAACCCGCUUCAGGCGGGUGCUAAUUCCUGCCUCGACGCAUGCACGAUCUGGCCGCGUUGACGCGGCGUCGGGGAGAGAUGAGGA